GUAGUCCUGGCUGUAAACGAUGUCGACUUGGAGGUUGUGCCCUUGAGGCGUGGCUUCCGGAGCUAACGCGUUAAGUCGACCGCCUGGGGAGUACGGCCGCAAGGUUAAAACUCAAAUGAAUUGACGGGGGCCCGCACAAGCGGUGGAGCAUGUGGUUUAAUUCGAUGCAACGCGAAGAACCUUACCUGGUCUUGACAUCCACGGAAGUUUUCAGAGAUGAGAAUGUGCCUUCGGGAACCGUGAGACAGGUGCUGCAUGGCUGUCGUCAGCUCGUGUUGUGAAAUGUUGGGUUAAGUCCCGCAACGAGCGCAACCCUUAUCCUUUGUUGCCUGCGGUCCGGCCGGGAACUCAAAGGAGACUGCCAGUGAUAAACUGGAGGAGGGUGGGGAUGACGUCAAGUCAUCAUGGCCCUUACGACCAGGGCUACACACGUGCUACAAUGGCGCAUACAAAGAGAAGCGACCUCGCGAGAGCAAGCGGACCUCAUAAAGUGCGUCGUAGUCCGGAUUGGAGUCUGCAACUCGACUCCAUGAAGUCGGAAUCGCUAGUAAUCGUGGAUCAGAAUGCCACGGUGAAUACGUUCCCGGGCCUUGUACACACCGCCCGUCACACCAUGGGAGUGGGUUGCAAAAGAAGUAGGUAGCUUAACCUUCGGGAGGGCGCUUACCACUUUGUGAUUCAUGACUGGGGUGAAGUCGUAACAAGGUAACCGUAGGGGAACCUGCGGCUGGAUCACCUCC
This 740-nucleotide ribosomal RNA is filed under the name uncultured bacterium. RNAcentral describes it as "bacterial SSU rRNA". It matches the Rfam family "Bacterial small subunit ribosomal RNA", at positions 790 to 1530 of the family's 1533-position model. The record is from RNAcentral.